GCAGGAUGCCUGCCUUCAAGGGCCGUGUGUUUCAGAAAACAGCACAGAGCAUGGGUAUGGAGCCAGUUCUGCGCUCUGCGCUCAAGCCAGACCUGAGUGUCCUGAAAGCAGUGGUGGAUGGGCAGGAGCAGCUCAGAAGCUUUCUCAUUCAGCUGAAUCAAGCCAAGAGCAUCCGUUCACCUCAGAGGGAAGAGGAGAGCACUGGCUGCUUCCCAGCCCUGGAGUGGCUCAUUGCAGCCAAGUUCAACAUGAAUUCAUCAAGACAGAAAGGGUGCACCAUGGAGGCUCUUGAUGGAUUUUUUUUUCCCCAGAACUUGAGGUCGCACAAACCUAGUCUCUAAACUUAGCAGAGACAAAUUCCAGCUUUGUGUAUUCAAAAGUCACAGGAGCUCAGAAGCUCUGAUGAGCUGUUCUCGCCAUAGCUGUGCUCUCCAGCCACCUGCUCCUGAGUCCUGCCAAAGGGCCACAGUUCUCAAGAUCCCGUCACAGUGAGCUCUUGGCUGUAACAAGCCUGGCACAGUCUUCUGCGGCGGCUCAUUCAUUUCAGGAAUCACUUGGAAGACUUCAGCAGGAGGGUUGCUUGAGUUCUGGAGUUGGAGGUUAGCCUAGACAACAUAGUGAGAGUCCGUCUCAAAAAUAAAUAAAUAAAUAAAUAGAAAAGAGGCUGGAAGAAAUGGAUUAUGGCCCAGUUGGUAGAGUACAGCUCAAAUGGAAAACCCAAGUUUCUCAAAGCUGAAAGCAACUAUGUUAUAAAGACAAUAAGAUAU
This is a long non-coding RNA of Meriones unguiculatus (Mongolian gerbil), 767 nucleotides long. RefSeq lists it as uncharacterized. The transcript is spliced from 2 exons. The record is from RefSeq and is a predicted model, not a curated record. NCBI's taxonomy places the organism in Eukaryota, Metazoa, Chordata, Mammalia, Rodentia, Muridae.